UGUUGUUCAUGUCUAGACACUACUCCUACAUUGUAUCGUUUCUUGUUAUAUUAAACUUACAACCUGCACCUGCUUCUCGACUCCCAGCGUCUGCAUUACAGAAUAUUGCCUCGCAAAAUGGAAGCAGCAGGAAAUCAGAACAUCUCCCAGACCUUCUUUGUCAACACCACGACCAGCUGGCACAACUGGGGUUGGCUAUGGAAGAGGUUCUUUGCAGUGUUCAAUGUCUUGAACACACUGAAGAGGUGUUGCUUUCAACUGGAGAAGGAUACUCUACCACCAGGCAAGCCAGCACACCAGCCCAUUCAGCAACCUUCCCAGAUGGGAGCUUCUACCACAGAGAGUUCCAAGAUUGCCACAGUUAUUUUUCUGCUGACUGGUCGGGCGUUAGAAUGGGCCACGGCCAUCUGGGAGAGGAGGAGAGGGAUGAAUGGAAGACAGCUUUUAGCACGAUUGAGGAGAGAGGUCACUACAAGAGUCUGGUCACUACAAGUACUUGGUGAUGCCAUUUGGCUUAGCCAAUGCUCCGUUAGUGAUCCAGGCAUUUGUCAACGAGGUGUUCCGGGACAUGCUCGGACACCAGGUGACCGUGUAUAUCGAUGACAUCCUGGUCUACUCGGCUACCUUGGAGGAUCACAUCGCUCACAUCCAAGUAGUCCUGGAACGCCUCCUGGCUAACCACCUGUUUGUCAAAGCUGAGAAGUCCUACCAAAUCGGCCAGUGAGGACUGAAGAUAAACGUCUACAAGGUCGAUGCCAACUUCUACCUCCAUUUCAUUAGGAACUUCCGCUCCAUCGUAGCUCCUCUCUCCUCAAGGGUGGUCUCGUAGAUUGGUGUGGAGUCCAGCAGCCAAUGAGGCCUUCCGUAUACUCAAGGGACGUUUCACCUCCGCCCCUCUGCUCAAACACCCAGAUCCCACAAUAUCCUUUUUUGUAUAUAUUACAGAUCCCCAUUAGCUGCUGCCAAAGCAAAAUUCAAAAUUAAGACAGUUUAUACAUCUUUAAAAACAUUGCAAUACAUUCACAGAUUUCACAACACAUUGUGUACCCUCAGUCCCCUACACUACCACUACCACAUAUUUACAAUACUAAAUCCAUGUGCAUGUUAUUGUGUGUGUGUCUGUGCCAAUGUUUCUGUUGCUUCACAGUCCCCGCUGUUCCAUAAGGUGUUCUUUUAAUCUGUUUUUUUUAAAUCAAAUUUUACUGCUUUUGUCAGUUACUUGAUGUGGAAGAGAGAGCCAUGACUACAUGGUACUAUGUAGUACUGUGUGCCUCCCAUGGUCUGUUCUGGACCUGGGGACUGUGAAGAGACCUCUUAUGGCAUGUCUUGUGGGGUAUGCAUGGGUGACCGAGCUGUGUGCCAGUAGUUUAGACAGACAGCUCAGUGCAUUCAACAUGUCAAUAUCUCUCAUAAAUAAAAGUAGUGAUGUAGUCAAUCUCUCCUCCAAUUUCAGCCAGGAGAGAUUGACAUGCAUAUUAUUAACAUGAACUAUCUCUGUAAAUCCAAGGGCCAGCCGUGCUGCCCUGUUCUGAACGAAUUGCAAUUUUCCUUAGUCCAUUUUUGUGGCACCUGACCAAAUUACUGAACAGUAAUCAAGGUGCGACAAAACUAGAUCCUGUAGGACCUGCCCUGUUGAUAGUGUUUUUUGGAAGGCAGAGCAUCACUUUCUUAUAGACGUACUUCUUCCCAUCUUAGAUACUACUGCGUCAAUAUGUUUUGACCAUGACAGCUUACAAACUAAUGUUUUCACCUCACAGAUCAUCUCAACUUGCUCAAUUUCCACAUUAUUUAUUACAAUAUUUAGCUGAGGUUUAGGGUUCAGUGAGUGUUUUGUUCCAAAUACAAUGCUUUUAGUUAUAGAAAUAUUUAGGGCUUAUUCCUUGCCAAGCACUCUGAAACUAACUGUAGCUCUUUGUUGAGUGUCACAGUCAUCACAGUCACUUCUUUAUCAUGGCAGCCAUGUUUGUUUAUGUUUGGCAAAAA
Molecule: long non-coding RNA, 1983 nt
Organism: Oncorhynchus keta (chum salmon)
Lineage: Eukaryota; Metazoa; Chordata; Actinopteri; Salmoniformes; Salmonidae
Exons: 2
Source: RefSeq, a predicted model, not a curated record